RNAcentral lists this ribosomal RNA (627 nucleotides) under Derxomyces pseudohuiaensis. RNAcentral describes it as "eukaryotic LSU rRNA". It matches the Rfam family "Eukaryotic large subunit ribosomal RNA", at positions 47 to 663 of the family's 3401-position model. Lineage: Eukaryota; Fungi; Basidiomycota; Tremellomycetes; Tremellales; Bulleribasidiaceae. The record is from RNAcentral.
UAAGCGGAGGAAAAGAAACUAACAAGGAUUCCCUUAGUAGCGGCGAGCGAAGCGGGAUGAGCUCAAAUUUGAAAUCUGGCGUCUUUCAGGCGUCCGAGUUGUAAUCUAUAGAAGCGUUUUCUGUGCUGGACCAUGUCCAAGUCCCUUGGAACAGGGUAUCAAAGAGGGUGACAAUCCCGUACUUGACAUGACCACCAGUGCUCUGUGAUACGUUUUCAACGAGUCGAGUUGUUUGGGAAUGCAGCUCAAAAUGGGUGGUAAAUUCCAUCUAAAGCUAAAUAUUGGCGAGAGACCGAUAGCGAACAAGUACCGUGAGGGAAAGAUGAAAAGCACUUUGGAAAGAGAGUUAAACAGUACGUGAAAUUGUUGAAAGGGAAACGAUUGAAGUCAGUCGUGUCUAUUGGUUUCAGCCGGUUCUGCCGGUGUAUUACCUUUAGACGGGUCAACAUCAGUUUUGGACGGCACAUAAGAGCGGUUUGAAUGUAUCACCUCCGGGUGUGUUAUAGCUUACUGUUGCAUAUGCUGUCCGAGACUGAGGACUGCAGCUCGCCUUUUAGGCCGGGGUUCGCCCACGUUCGAGCUUAGGAUGUUGACAUAAUGGCUUUAAACGACCCGUCUUGAAACACG